CCCGGUGCACAGGUCCAGGCUCCUGGCCCCACGGGACACACGCACCUGCUCCCAGGGGCCCGUUGGGAAGCAGCCAUGUGUCCCAUCUAACGGCAAGGAGCCUGGGGAGGACAGCAGGGUGUGGGCGCCCCCAGGAAGUCGCCUGCCGGCCUGCCCGCAUCCACAAUGACAGGAGCCAGUUCCCCAAAACGAGGAUCUCCACCCUCUACUGUCUCCCCCCCACUCCAUAUACACAUGUCCCUACAACCUAUUGGUUCUGUUUUUCUGGAACAACCCAGAGUCAUUUUCACGUGUUUGGAGCACCUGAGGUAUUCGCCGCAUCGCGUCGGCAGGAGUCGUCGGAAGGUGGAUGAGCCAGGAGCCGACUAAAAAGAGAGUCGAGGCACGUCAGCAUCACCUGUCGGGGAGAAUUGCCUUAACAUGUCUCUGCCUUCAGUUUCCCUGCCUGCCAACGGGCAGCCCUUCCUGCCUCGACUGGUCUAACGAGACGAAGGGGGGAUGUCAGCCCCACGGGGCCUGUGACCAACAGACCUUAACGGCCCUCUGUGCGGCCGCAGGACCUCACUAUGGUGGGGGCGGGCAGAGGGCAAGGAAGGGGAGCCUGGUGCUUUCCAGCCAGACUGGCUGGCACCACAAGCGCUUCUCAGUUCUGCUUUUCACCUGGAGAACCCUGCUGCUCCCCCAUAAAGCCAACCCAGAGCCUCCAGCCGGGCCUUUCCCUGCACGACUUUGCAGCCAAGCUCUUCUGCGGCUCGGAGCCAGCUGCAGGCAUUCUGGCCAGAUGGCGCGGGGGGCGGGGGGGGGGGGAUGAGCCCAUGAUGCUGCCCCGGGUCCCGCAGAUGUAACGUCCCCAUCAGAGCCUGUUAGUUAGUCAACGGAAACCAGGAUUUGAAUUAGGAUUUCUUGAUGGAAAGCCUGGCCAUGCUUGAACUCUCCAUAACCUGGCAGAGUUCACGUGUCCUCAAUGCUCCGAACAAGCCAGCAGCAGCCACGCGUCUUGGACAUGAAGCACAGAAACCAGAGGUUUACUGCCUCAGCAAUGAACUUGCUUUCCUGCUCCUGCUGCAAUGGAAGGAACUCGUCCCUGCGCGUGCGUGACCGUGACUUGCCUCGAAGACCUCGGCAUGGAGCAAGGGUGCAGGGGCAGACGUGCCCCGGAUGCAUGGCUCUCUGGCGUGGAACCCUUUUCUCGUCCCUCCCCCUGCCUCGUCUUUGUGCUUGUUUGCUUUCCCUUUCAAAUAUAUUUUCAAAGUUGUAAA
Molecule: long non-coding RNA, 1259 nt
Organism: Canis lupus familiaris (dog)
Lineage: Eukaryota; Metazoa; Chordata; Mammalia; Carnivora; Canidae
Exons: 2
Source: RefSeq, a predicted model, not a curated record